CUGCGCGUUCGCACGCACUCUUGCCAGCCUCGUCUCCGCGUGUGUUCAAGCGCACCUGCACAAUCGCCCCGCUGAUCACGGACGUCCACGCCAGCCACCGCCGCUCCUCUUCUCUCGCCUUCCGCCUCCCUCCCUGCCUGCCUGCCUACCCGCGUGCAGAGCCCCAUUCAGGAGUGCGACCUGCCUUUCUGUCGUCUACCCUUGCAACAACGCGUAUGCACGUAGUGGCCGACGUGUUCGUGGUGGAAUGACACGCUGCAGGUAGCUAGUCACAGCGGGAUGACAUUGGUGAAUGUGGCGCAGCUCCUGGCUGUUUGUGUCCGUGCAUCGCUGGCGGCGCAGCGCUAUGUGAUGCUGAACCUUCUCAAGCUGCCAGAGGCGGGGGCGAAGAUGGCCCAUGCACACAACUCAUCGCUAGAAGCCUCUGUGACGCACCCGCGCACAGUGCUUGACCUCUCCGAUACUGAGAAAGGGGUGCUGAUGGAUUUGCUGCACCACGCCGUGAGUGUUGAUGUCAAGUCGCGCCUUGGCCACCAGAAUGGCGACGCCGCGGACGAUCUCGUCACGACGGCGGAUGUCCUCGUUCAGACUGUAGUGGUGCGUGCGCUGAAGGAAUCCUUCCCUGCAUUUCCAUUCACUGUAGUUGGCGAAGAGGAUCAGCCGAGCAGCGCUGUCGAAAAAGAGGCGGAGGCGUGCAUGGCCAUGCACUACAAGGCGAUCUCCGCAAUGCCGUAUGAGGCUGAGUUGUACGCGCACCUGCAGGCGAGCGAGAAAUCCAACGCUGGCGCUGACGCUGCGGUCGUCCUGCACGCGGACUCCGAUGAGGCAAUGCGACGUCGCCUGGGCAUUUUCAUUGAUCCCAUCGACGGCACGAAUUGCUUUGUGGACGGCGUCUGGCAAGCCCCGAUGACGCUUGUGGGCAUCACGCUGGACGGUGUUCCCAUCGCCGGCGUCAUGAACCGCAUUUUUUACUACCCGCUGACGUGCACCGACGGGCCAGCCGCGACGGAGCCGCAGGAGAAGACCUGUGUGCCCGGUCUGUCGGUCGUGUUGAACACGCCGACUCUUGCGUCGCCGUUUGUGGUAUUUGACGGAGAGCUGGUGCCGGCACCGGGGCAGAUGGAGCCGCAGCUAGAGUGCACCUGCGAGACGCCGCUUGCCGUGUGUCGCUCGAGCACCACGAAGGAGGUGUUUCUCCAGCGCUUGCUGACACAGCUGGAGCCCUGCAACGCCGUUUAUGCCCGUGGUGCGGGCUACAAGCAGUAUCAUCUGCUCAAGAAAAUUCUGACGGGGCACCAUGUAGCGCAUGAGGCCAUCACCCCAGCGGACAUCUUUGUGUGCCCACCGGCGACCAUCAAGAAGUGGGACUGCUGUGCCGCGCACGCAUUCCUCUACGCGCUCGGGGGCGAGAUUUUCGACCAGAAUGGUGUGCCGAUUCGCUAUCCGGUCGUUGGAACAUAUAGUGCAGCAACCACCUCCCUGCCUGAGAUUGCCGUGCUGACGGACGGGCUGGUAGCGGUGACUCCGUACGCAAUGCAUGAGGUGGCUCGACGUCUGGGGUGGACGCUUACGCUCGCGCCGUAAGUGAGCGACGCGCGAAAAGCAGAGGACGUGCUCAACGGCUCUCGCAGACAGAAAGUUUCGAAUCCUUCCCGAUGUCACGCACCGAUUAAAUGCCGCGCUUCCCUCCUUGCUUGUCGUUUUCUUUUUUGUUCCAAUUCGAUUCUCUGUUUCGCUUGCUACUACUCUCUUCUUGUCACCGGUCUGUGCUGCGCAUGUGUGUGCGUGGCAGACAUGUGCCGCAGCACCAAAUC
This 1814-nucleotide unclassified non-coding RNA is filed under the name Leishmania donovani. RNAcentral describes it as "gene:LdHU3.31.5210(CDS-product:inositol_polyphosp hate_1-phosphatase_putative)". The record is from RNAcentral. Lineage: Eukaryota; Euglenozoa; Kinetoplastea; Trypanosomatida; Trypanosomatidae.